Molecule: ribosomal RNA, 476 nt
Filed under: uncultured organism
Description: partial 16S ribosomal RNA
Rfam family: Bacterial small subunit ribosomal RNA
Source: RNAcentral
ACACUCCUACGGGAGGCAGCAGUGGGGAAUUUUGGACAAUGGGCGAAAGCCUGAUCCAGCAAUGCCGCGUGCAGGAUGAAGGCCUUCGGGUUGUAAACUGCUUUUGUACGGAACGAAAAAGCUCCUUCUAAUACAGGGGGCCCAUGACGGUACCGUAAGAAUAAGCACCGGCUAACUACGUGCCAGCAGCCGCGGUAAUACGUAGGGUGCGAGCGUUAAUCGGAAUUACUGGGCGUAAAGCGUGCGCAGGCGGUUAUGUAAGACAGAUGUGAAAUCCCCGGGCUCAACCUGGGAACUGCAUUUGUGACUGCAUGGCUAGAGUACGGUAGAGGGGGAUGGAAUUCCGCGUGUAGCAGUGAAAUGCGUAGAUAUGCGGAGGAACACCGAUGGCGAAGGCAAUCCCCUGGACCUGUACUGACGCUCAUGCACGAAAGCGUGGGGAGCAAACAGGAUUAGAUACCCUAGUAGUCCCAUGA